CCUACGGGAGGCAGCAGUAGGGAAUCUUCCGCAAUGGACGAAAGUCUGACGGAGCAACGCCGCGUGAACGAUGAAGGCCUUCGGGUCGUAAAGUUCUGUUGUUAGGGAAGAACAAGUGCUAGUUGAAUAAGCUGGCACCUUGACGGUACCUAACCAGAAAGCCACGGCUAACUACGUGCCAGCAGCCGCGGUAAUACGUAGGUGGCAAGCGUUGUCCGGAAUUAUUGGGCGUAAAGCGCGCGCAGGCGGUUUCUUAAGUCUGAUGUGAAAGCCCCCGGCUCAACCGGGGAGGGUCAUUGGAAACUGGGAAACUUGAGUGCAGAAGAGGAAAGUGGAAUUCCAAGUGUAGCGGUGAAAUGCGUAGAGAUUUGGAGGAACACCAGUGGCGAAGGCGACUUUCUGGUCUGUAACUGACGCUGAGGCGCGAAAGCGUGGGGAGCAAACAGGAUUAGAUACCCUGGUAGUCCACGCUGUAAACGAUGAGUGCUAAGUGUUAGAGGGUUUCCGCCCUUUAGUGCUGAAGUUAACGCAUUAAGCACUCCGCCUGGGGAUACGGUCGCAAGACUUGAAACUUAAGGAAUUGACGG
RNAcentral lists this ribosomal RNA (587 nucleotides) under uncultured bacterium. RNAcentral describes it as "bacterial SSU rRNA". It matches the Rfam family "Bacterial small subunit ribosomal RNA", at positions 338 to 916 of the family's 1533-position model. The record is from RNAcentral.